Molecule: long non-coding RNA, 209 nt
Organism: Gopherus evgoodei (Goodes thornscrub tortoise)
Lineage: Eukaryota; Metazoa; Chordata; Testudines; Testudinidae
Exons: 4
Source: RefSeq, a predicted model, not a curated record
GAGUCAGCAGCUUUCCCAGGGCAGCUGGACAUAGGAAGGGGCCGGCUGGAGGGAGUUAGUUCAGUUUUGGUUUGGAGCUGGGUUGUUGGAAUUCAGGGACUCCCAAACUGGAAACUAAGUUUCCUGAACCCUAAGAAGGACUUGAUUGAGGGGUCCUGGUUGUGCCCAAAAGCUCUGCUGUAUCCUUCAUUCCUGUUGGCCAAAAAAAC